CCUACGGGUGGCAGCAGUGAGGAAUAUUGGUCAAUGGGCGUAAGCCUGAACCAGCCAAGUCGCGUGAGGGAUGAAGGUUCUAUGGAUCGUAAACUUCUUUUAUAAGGGAAUAAAGUGCGGGUCGUGACCCGUUGUGAAUGUACCUUAUGAAUAAGGAUCGGCUAACUCCGUGCCAGCAGCCGCGGUAAUACGGAGGAUCCGAGCGUUAUCCGGAUUUAUUGGGUUUAACGGGUGCGUAGGCGGCAUGUUAAGUCAGCGGUGAAAGUCUGUGGCUCAACCAGAGAAUUGCCGUUGAAACUGGGAGGUUUGAGUAUGUUUGAGGAAGGCGGAAUGCGUGGUGUAGGGGUGAAAUGCUUAGAUA
This 361-nucleotide ribosomal RNA is filed under the name uncultured bacterium. RNAcentral's name for it is "partial 16S ribosomal RNA". It matches the Rfam family "Bacterial small subunit ribosomal RNA", at positions 338 to 696 of the family's 1533-position model. The record is from RNAcentral.